This 424-nucleotide ribosomal RNA is filed under the name uncultured bacterium. RNAcentral's name for it is "partial 16S ribosomal RNA". It matches the Rfam family "Bacterial small subunit ribosomal RNA", at positions 359 to 774 of the family's 1533-position model. The record is from RNAcentral.
GAAUAUUGGACAAUGGGGGGAACCCUGAUCCAGCCAUGCCGCGCGUGUGAAGAAGGCCUUUUGGUUGUAGAGCACUUUAAGCGAGGAGGAGGCUAGUUAGAUUAAUACUCGAGGAUAGUGGAAGUUACUCGCAGAACAAGCACCGGACAACUCGGAGCCAGCAGCCGCGGUAAUACAGAGGGUGCAAGCGUUAAUCGGAUUUACUGGGCGUAAAGCGCGCGUAGGUGGCCAAUUAAGUCAAAUGUGAAAUCCCCGAGCUUAACUUGGGAAUUGCAUUCGAUACUGGUUGGCUAGAGUAUGGGAGAGGAUGGUAGAAUUCCAGGUGUAGCGGUGAAAUGCGUAGAGAUCUGGAGGAAUACCGAUGGCGAAGGCAGCCAUCUGGCCUAAUACUGACACUGAGGUGCGAAAGCAUGGGGAGCAAACA